Molecule: ribosomal RNA, 650 nt
Filed under: uncultured bacterium
Lineage: Bacteria
Description: bacterial SSU rRNA
Rfam family: Bacterial small subunit ribosomal RNA
Source: RNAcentral
GCAGUCGACGGUUGUAGCAAUACAGCAGUGGCAGACGGGUGAGUAACACGUGGGAACCUACCUAGGGGUACGGAAUAACUCAGGGAAACUUGUGCUAAUACCGUAUACGACCUUCGGGUGAAAGAUUUAUCGCCCCUAGAUGGGCCCGCGUUGGAUUAGCUAGUUGGUGGGGUAAAAGCCUACCAAGGCGACGAUCCAUAGCUGGUCUGAGAGGAUGAUCAGCCACACUGGGACUGAGACACGGCCCAGACUCCUACGGGAGGCAGCAGUAGGGAAUCUUGGACAAUGGGCGAAAGCCUGAUCCAGCCAUGCCGCGUGAGUGAUGAAGGCCUUAGGGUUGUAAAGCUCUUUCGCCAGGGAAGAUAAUGACGGUACCUGGAUAAGAAGCCCCGGCAAACUUCGUGCCAGCAGCCGCGGUAAUACGAAGGGGGCUAGCGUUGUUCGGAAUUACUGGGCGUAAAGCGCACGUAGGCGGUUUUCCAAGUUGGAGGUGAAAUCCCUGGGCUCAACCCGGGAACUGCCUCCAAAACUGGAUGACUCGAGUCCGAGAGAGGUGAGUGGAAUUUCCAGUGUAGAGGUGAAAUUCGUAGAUAUUGGAAAGAACACCAGUGGCGAAGGCGGCUCACUGGCUCGGUACUGACGCUGAGGUG